RNAcentral lists this non-coding RNA (105 nucleotides) under Leuconostoc carnosum. RNAcentral's name for it is "THF". It matches the Rfam family "THF (Tetrahydrofolate) riboswitch aptamer". Rfam says of the family: THF riboswitch presents a pseudoknot that joins P1-P2 and the loop of P3 and two THF binding. The record is from RNAcentral. RNAcentral also lists the same sequence under 1 other name. Lineage: Bacteria; Bacillati; Bacillota; Bacilli; Lactobacillales; Lactobacillaceae.
AACGGGGUAGAUAUCUGCGCGUUAAGUGUGAAGGAAACGGAAUGUGGGCCUUCAACGAAGUAAAUGGUAAAACAUUUAUGCGGUGCGGAUAUCACAUUCACCAAA